RNAcentral lists this ribosomal RNA (253 nucleotides) under uncultured bacterium. RNAcentral describes it as "partial 16S ribosomal RNA". It matches the Rfam family "Bacterial small subunit ribosomal RNA", at positions 524 to 776 of the family's 1533-position model. The record is from RNAcentral.
GACGUAGGUGGCAAGCGUUGUCCGGAUUUACUGGGCGUAAAGAGCGCGCAGGCGGUCGUGCAAGUCGCGUGUGAAAGCCCCCGGCUCAACUGGGGAGGGUCACGCGAUACUGCUCGACUCGAAGGCAGGAGAGGGAAGUGGAAUUCCCGGUGUAGUGGUGAAAUGCGUAGAUAUCGGGAGGAACACCAGUGGCGAAGGCGACUUCCUGGCCUGUUCUUGACGCUGAGGCGCGAAAGCUAGGGUAGCAAACGGG